AAAAUAUUAUAUUAAUAAUAUUAUUACUUUAUAAAAUGUUACUUGGGCCAACGUAAAUUUGACCAGCAUUUUCCGUUCAUAUAAGCUGCGCUGGAGUGAACAAUUUGACAAGAGAGCAAGAGAAAUUUAGUGCGUAAGCGUGGCGUUCCUAUCUACGCUUUAGUGCGUAGCGCAGUUGCAAGUCGGAUUUCUGUUCGUUCGUCAUCAUUUGUCAUAAAUAAGACGUUAUCAGUAUGAUUUUAAAACAGAAUUGUUGUACUUAUAUUUAUUUAUUGGUUAUUUUUGGUACUCAGUGCUCGUAUUAGUUUUUUUUUGUUGGAUCAACUUAAUAGUGUGGUGGUUAAGUUAAUUCUCAAAAGUUAUUGUUCUAAUCACCCUAGAAAUGGACAAAUUUUUAUUAAACUUGAAUAAUCAAGAUAGUGCUGGAUAUAAAGAGGACUCUCCACAAUCUAGUGGCAAGGGUUCCAGGAAGCGAAAAUAUCGUAAAUAUGACGACAGUUAUUUGGAUUUUGGCUUUACAUCAACAAAUGAUAAUGAUAAAGAGAGAGCACAGUGCUUAUUGUGUAAUGAAAGUUUUGGCAUCAGAGUGUAUGCUUCCAAG
This 601-nucleotide long non-coding RNA is filed under the name Androctonus crassicauda. The record is from RNAcentral. Lineage: Eukaryota; Metazoa; Arthropoda; Arachnida; Scorpiones; Buthidae.